UACGAAGGGGGCUAGCGUUGUUCGGAAUUACUGGGCGUAAAGCGCGUGUAGGCGGGUCUUUAAGUCCGGGGUGAAAUGCCAAGGCUCAACCUUGGAACUGCCUUUGAUACUGGAGACCUUGAGUCCGGGAGAGGUGAGUGGAAUUGCGAGUGUAGAGGUGAAAUUCGUAGAUAUUUGCAAGAACACCAGUGGCGAAGGCGGCUCACUGGCCCGGAACUGACGCUGAGACGCGAAAGCGUGGGGAGCAAACAGG
RNAcentral lists this ribosomal RNA (253 nucleotides) under uncultured bacterium. Its description in RNAcentral is "partial 16S ribosomal RNA". It matches the Rfam family "Bacterial small subunit ribosomal RNA", at positions 524 to 776 of the family's 1533-position model. The record is from RNAcentral.